Molecule: long non-coding RNA, 147 nt
Organism: Phyllostomus discolor (pale spear-nosed bat)
Lineage: Eukaryota; Metazoa; Chordata; Mammalia; Chiroptera; Phyllostomidae
Exons: 3
Source: RefSeq, a predicted model, not a curated record
AACAUGCAAUACCUGACUAUUUAGUCAGGGGCACUAACCUCUUUUCCCUUAGAUUGUCAAAUAAAAAAUGACAGCAGCCAACAAAACAAUAGCUGUUCAGUGUGACUGAAUCAAAGUUAUAUCAAUUUUUUUUUUCUGUCAGAUCAU